GUGGAUUAGAUACCCUAGUAGUCCACGCUGUAAACGAUGGGCACUAGGUGUCGCGGGUAUUGACCCCUGCGGUGCCGCAGCUAACGCAUUAAGUGCCCCGCCUGGGGACUACGGCCGCAAGGUUAAAACUCAAAGGAAUUGACGGGGGCCCGCACAAGCGGUGGAGCAUGUGGUUCAAUUCGACGCAACGCGAAGAACCUUACCCGGGCUAGACAACAGAGGACAGCCUUAGAAAUAAGGUCUUCCCUUCGGGGACCUCUGGUUCAGGUGCUGCACGGCCGUCGACAGCU
RNAcentral lists this ribosomal RNA (290 nucleotides) under uncultured bacterium. RNAcentral describes it as "partial 16S ribosomal RNA". It matches the Rfam family "Bacterial small subunit ribosomal RNA", at positions 773 to 1060 of the family's 1533-position model. The record is from RNAcentral.